This 39-nucleotide transfer RNA is filed under the name Colchicum speciosum. Its description in RNAcentral is "partial transfer RNA-Phe". The record is from RNAcentral. Lineage: Eukaryota; Viridiplantae; Streptophyta; Magnoliopsida; Liliales; Colchicaceae.
AUGGUUGGGAUAGCUCAGUUGAAAAGACCCAGACUGAAA